AUAUCAAUAAGCGGAGGAAAAGAAACCAACAGGGAUUGCCCCAGUAACGGCGAGUGAAGCGGCAAUAGCUCAAAUUUGAAAUCUGGCUCUUUCAGGGUCCGAGUUGUAAUUUGCAGAGGGUGCUUUGGCGUCGGCCGUGGUCUAAGUUCCUUGGAACAGGACGUCACAGAGGGUGAGAAUCCCGUACGUGGCCGCCGGUCUUCGCCGUGUAAAGCCCCUUCGACGAGUCGAGUUGUUUGGGAAUGCAGCUCUAAAUGGGAGAUAAAUUUCUUCUAAAGCUAAAUAUUGGCCAGAGACCGAUAGCGCACAAGUAGAGUGAUCGAAAGAUGAAAAGCACUUUGGAAAGAGAGUCAAAAAGCACGUGAAAUUGUUGAAAGGGAAGCGCUUGCAGCCAGACGUGCCCGCAGUUGCUCACCCGGGCUCUCGCCCGGGGCACUCUUCUGCGGGCAGGCCAGCAUCAGUUCGGGCGGUUGGAUAAAGGCCUCUGUCACGUACCACCCCCUCGGGGGCGGCCUUAUAGGGGAGGCGCAACACGACCAGCCCGAACUGAGGACCGCGCAUUAUGCUAGGAUGCUGGCGUAAUGGCUGUAAGCGGCCCGUCUUGAAACACGGACCAAGGAGUCUAACAUCUAUGCGAGUGUUUGGGUGUCAAGCCCGGACGCGCAAUGAAAGUGAACGGAGGUGGGAACCCUUACGGGCGCACCAUCGACCGAUCCUGAAGUCUUCGGAUGGAUUUGAGUAAGAGCAUAGCUGUUGGGACCCGAAAGAUGGUGAACUAUGCCUGAAUAGGGUGAAGCCAGGGGAAACCCUGGUGGAGGCUCGCAGCGGUUCUGACGUGCAAAUCGAUCGUCAAAUUUGGGCAUAGGGGCGAAAGACUAAUCGA
This 883-nucleotide ribosomal RNA is filed under the name Parathyridaria robiniae. RNAcentral describes it as "eukaryotic LSU rRNA". It matches the Rfam family "Eukaryotic large subunit ribosomal RNA", at positions 40 to 938 of the family's 3401-position model. Lineage: Eukaryota; Fungi; Ascomycota; Dothideomycetes; Pleosporales; Thyridariaceae. The record is from RNAcentral.